Xiphias gladius (swordfish) is the source of this 583-nucleotide long non-coding RNA. RefSeq lists it as uncharacterized. Lineage: Eukaryota; Metazoa; Chordata; Actinopteri; Istiophoriformes; Xiphiidae. The transcript is spliced from 5 exons. The record is from RefSeq and is a predicted model, not a curated record.
UGCUCAGUUCCACUGUUUUGUGGUGGAGGCGGAAAAGACAGAUAUCUCAAGGCCUUUUACAAAUAUAACCAAAACUAUCUGCGUGGCUACAAACCACUAGAACAGAGACAUGGAGGCCUGUCUCAGAGUCAUGGGAAGAAUGCCUGAGGUGCAGAACGAAGAUACAGCUCCUGCUGAUGAGAAGAGAGGGAGUGAAGUCCGGAUCAGUGAGAACCAGAAGAAAUGACUGCAGUGUGCUACCUUCACCAGACUACAGGAAGUGAAAUUUGAAAAUGAACAUGCUCUGAGAUGUUGAAAACCUAAAGGAGUACCAGUCUGAACUGUGUGGGUGUUUGUUAAGGACUGGGAACUCCUCCAAAACAAUGAGUAAGGUGUCACAAAUAACAAAAGAAGAGACCAGACACCUGGCAGGACCACCCGGAGCCAAACCAUGCAUUGGUAGGACUGACGAGUACAGGCAGUGGGUGAGGGAGCAUUCAGAUCCUUUACUCAAGUGAAAGUAGAAAUACUACACUAUGAAAAUACUCAAUUAAAAGAAUAAAACCUGCUUUGACAUCCAGUAAGUAUUAUCAGCAAAAUAUAA